UCCCUGGUGGUUCAGGGUUAGGACUUGGCGCUUUCACUGCUGUGGCCCCAGGUUCAAUUCCUGGUUGCGGAA
This 72-nucleotide transfer RNA is filed under the name Ovis aries (sheep). It matches the Rfam family "tRNA". From Rfam's summary of the family: Transfer RNA (tRNA) molecules are approximately 80 nucleotides in length. Their secondary structure includes four short double-helical elements and three loops (D, anti-codon, and T loops). The record is from Rfam by way of RNAcentral. Lineage: Eukaryota; Metazoa; Chordata; Mammalia; Artiodactyla; Bovidae.